GGAUCAGUGAUGACUUCAAAAAUGGGUCUUGUUGACAUCGGAAGAAAAUGAAUGACAAAAUCACUUCUGUGAGCUGAGGUCC
This is a small nucleolar RNA of Panthera pardus (leopard), 82 nucleotides long. Its record names the gene SNORD116. It matches the Rfam family "Small nucleolar RNA SNORD116". Rfam says of the family: HBII-85 is a member of the C/D class of snoRNAs, which contain the C (UGAUGA) and D (CUGA) box motifs. HBII-85 is encoded in a tandemly repeated array with another C/D snoRNA, HBII-52, in the Prader-Willi syndrome (PWS) region of chromosome 15. The record is from Ensembl. Lineage: Eukaryota; Metazoa; Chordata; Mammalia; Carnivora; Felidae.